RNAcentral lists this ribosomal RNA (457 nucleotides) under uncultured Eocronartium. RNAcentral's name for it is "SSU rRNA". It matches the Rfam family "Eukaryotic small subunit ribosomal RNA", at positions 622 to 1083 of the family's 1831-position model. The record is from RNAcentral. Lineage: Eukaryota; Fungi; Basidiomycota; Pucciniomycetes; Platygloeales; Eocronartiaceae.
UAAAAGCUCGUAGUCGAACUUCGGCCUUUGCUGGUCGGUCCGCCUUUUGGUGUGUACUGAUCUAGCGAAGGCUUACCUCUUGGUGAACUGCGAUGCCCUUUAUUGGGUGUUGUAGGGAACCAAGACUUUUACUUUGAAAAAAUUAGAGUGUUCAAAGCAGGCCUACGCCCGAAUACAUUAGCAUGGAAUAAUAGAAUAGGACGCGCACUCCUAUUUUGUUGGUUUCUAGGAGCGCCGUAAUGAUUAAUAGGGAUAGUUGGGGGCAUUUGUAUUACAGCGUCAGAGGCGAAAUUCUUGGAUUGCUGUAAGACAAACUACUGCGAAAGCAUUUGCCAAGGAUGUUUUCAUUGAUCAAGAACGAAGGUUAGGGGAUCAAAAACGAUCAGAUACCGUUGUAGUCUUAACAGUAAACUAUGCCGACUGGGGAUCGGACAAGGCUUUAUCAUGACUUGUUCGG